This 124-nucleotide ribosomal RNA is filed under the name uncultured bacterium. RNAcentral's name for it is "partial 16S ribosomal RNA". The record is from RNAcentral.
CCGGGGUUUCUUUACCAGGUACCGUCAUUAUCUUCCCUGGCGAAAGAGCUUUACGACCCUAAGGCCUUCGUCACUCACGCGGCAUGGCUAGAUCAGGGUUUCCCCCAUUGUCUAAGAUUCCCCA